RNAcentral lists this ribosomal RNA (253 nucleotides) under uncultured bacterium. RNAcentral describes it as "partial 16S ribosomal RNA". It matches the Rfam family "Bacterial small subunit ribosomal RNA", at positions 524 to 776 of the family's 1533-position model. The record is from RNAcentral.
GGCGGAGGAUGCGAGUGUUAUCCGGAAUCACUGGGCGUAAAGCGUCUGUAGGUGGUUUAAUAAGUCAACUGUUAAAUCUUGAGGCUCAACCUCAAAAUCGCAGUCGAAACUAUUAGACUAGAGUAUAGUAGGGGUAAAGGGAAUUUCCAGUGGAGCGGUGAAGUGCGUAGAGAUUGGAAAGAACACCGAUGGCGAAGGCACUUUACUGGGCUAUUACUAACACUCAGAGACGAAAGCUAGGGUAGCAAAUGGG